RNAcentral lists this ribosomal RNA (508 nucleotides) under Colletotrichum cf. gloeosporioides ROG-2010. RNAcentral's name for it is "eukaryotic LSU rRNA". The stretch from base 178 to 331 matches the Rfam family "5.8S ribosomal RNA". The record is from RNAcentral. Lineage: Eukaryota; Fungi; Ascomycota; Sordariomycetes; Glomerellales; Glomerellaceae.
CAUUACUGAGUUUACGCUCUAUAACCCUUUGUGAACAUACCUAUAACUGUUGCUUCGGCGGGUAGGGUCUCCGCGACCCUCCCGGCCUCCCGCCUCCGGGCGGGUCGGCGCCCGCCGGAGGAUAACCAAACUCUGAUUUAACGACGUUUCUUCUGAGUGGUACAAGCAAAUAAUCAAAACUUUUAACAACGGAUCUCUUGGUUCUGGCAUCGAUGAAGAACGCAGCGAAAUGCGAUAAGUAAUGUGAAUUGCAGAAUUCAGUGAAUCAUCGAAUCUUUGAACGCACAUUGCGCCCGCCAGCAUUCUGGCGGGCAUGCCUGUUCGAGCGUCAUUUCAACCCUCAAGCUCUGCUUGGUGUUGGGGCCCUACAGCUGAUGUAGGCCCUCAAAGGUAGUGGCGGACCCUCCCGGAGCCUCCUUUGCGUAGUAACUUUACGUCUCGCACUGGGAUCCGGAGGGACUCUUGCCGUAAAACCCCCCAAUUUUCCAAAGGUUGACCUCGGAUCAGG